CCUCCUCAAGAACUUGCCGCUGCUGCGCUCCACUCUGUGCCACUUGUCGUUCUUGUCCUCCUUCUCUACGUUCCUCUCUCCGCUGAUCUGAAGCACCCUGUUGUCUUCAACCUCCACCUUCACCUCUUCUUUCUUCAGCCCCGGAAGGUCUGCCUUGAACAAGUGGGCUUCCGGGGUCUCCUUCCAGUCGAUCCUCGUGUUCAGGAAAGCUGAAUUUUCCCGGGAAAAUUUAGGGAAUGUGGAGAGUGAUGAAGAGGAAGGGAAUGGGAAAUCCUUGAAUGGGUCCCAGAUAUCGAGAGAGGAAGGGUCGAAAAUGCUGCCUCGUCGGAAGCUGGGAAUGAUCGACAUUGGAAAAAUUGAUGGGUUUUGUUUGGAUGCUAAGAAAGUUUGAGAAUUUGAAUCGUUAAAGAGAAUUGCUGCUUUGCUUGAUUGGUUUGGGAAAGUAGAGGAUUGGUUAGGUAUUUAAAAAGAAGCCAAGAAUAUUCUAGUGAAGACUGGGCCUUGCAAACGCUUCUGUGAUUUUCUCUGGAAAAUUCUAGGAUUGCCUAGAAUCUGUGGGCGGGGCUUCUUUGUGGGCUCAUAACACAGUUAGAUGAGUGAUGGACCACUGGACUUCAAAAUUCACCCAACCUACCCAGCACCAUUUUUGUAAAUUUUGAAAUUCACUUUUACCCUUCAAAGAAAAUUAAAAACUAAUGCGAUUCAUACUGAAGGAACAUAAUAUAAUGUGCAGAUGCAUUAUGCUUCUUAUCAUUAGAGGUAGGCAUCAAUCCGGCCGAAUCGAUGAAACCAGCCGAAUCAAACUAUAACUACUGGUUUGGUUUGGUUUUGAUCAAAAAAAAGUCAAACGGUUUAAAAACCAAAUCGGACUGUAUAUGGUUUGGUUUUGAGCUUUUGUAAACCAGCCUAAACCAAACUGGACCGUUUAUGUGUAUAUAUUUUUUUUUUUUUUUUUACAUGUGUAAUACUCUAAUUAGUUAAUUACUAUAUAUGAAAAUUUGAAUUGAGCUAUAUUAGUUAGUGAAAUAUGAAGUUUUAUGAAUUUUGAGCUUUAGGAUGGUUUCAUACUCUAAAAAAUGAAUUAUGUAUGAAGCAAGUUGUUAAUUUGUUGGUUAAAAUUGGGCAAACAAUGUUGAAAAAAUGCAAAAAGAAAGAGAAUUGGACUUAGGCUCAAACCGGCCGAGCCAAACCGUCUUAAAUUAGUUUGGUUUGGUUCAGUUUUCUUUAUAACUUUUAUUCAAACCGAAUCAAACCAAACCGUCAUAUUAUAAUUGAUUCGGUUGUAGUUAUGAGGUAUAACCGAUCCAAUUUGGACCGUGCCCACCCCUACUUAUCACCCUCAAGUAGCUAUUUUAAAGAAAAUGUGGGGUCUCCCUAUUCCCCCUGAAGUCAAAAUUUUCUCAUGGUUACUUAUCAGGAAAAGGCUUCAAGUCCGAAACAAUUUACACAGCUUCCUACCCCAGAUUAACCCUGAGUGCCCCCUCUGCAAUGCUCGCAGGGAAAUCAUUACUCACCUCUUCUCAACUUGUCCCUUUGCUCAAAGUGUUUGGAGUUGUACCAACCUGGCCCCUGCGAUUUCUUCUCCAAAUUUUGACUUUCUCACCUGGUUGGGUACGCUACCUUCUACUACUACUUCUAGAGGCCCUGACAUUCUUUCCAAAGCUCUACUGCUAUGUUGGUAGAUCUGGGAAACUAGGAAUAACCUGAUUUUCAAAGACAUCAACCCACAUCCUGUUUGUGUGCUUACUAUGGUUGGGCAGGUUAGUUUAGACUAUUAGCACCAAAAUUGCAAGAAGGUGGAGGGACCUAAAACACCUCUUCAUAUUAAAUGGGAAUCCCCCAAGUGAAUGGGUCAAAUUGAAUUUUGAUUGUUCUGUUUGGAAUGGUUCAGCGGCUACUAGCUUUGUUAUCCGAGAUUCUGAUGGUCAUAUUUUACUGGCUAGUGCUUAGAACAUUGGUGACAAUACCAUUUCUGCGCGGAAUGCAUUGCCUUACGGGAUGGCCUUGCUUAUGGGACUCAUAGAGGAUGGCGCAAAGUUCUUGUUGAAGGAGAUUCUAAACUUAUUAUUAACUGCGUAAAUCAGAAAGCUUUGACCCUGUGGAGUAUCAACCUCUUGAUUAAAGAUAUAGUGCUUAUCAGCUCCUUUUGUGAUUCUUGGUCUGUCAGUCAUGUAUUCCGUGAGGCUAAUUUCACGGCUGAUGCUAUUGCUAGCUUGGGCCAUGCACUAAAUCCUUCCAAGCUUUGGGAGGCGGCUGCCUCUGAACUGUUCAAUCCCUUUGCUACAUGAAUCAAUUCAUUAAUAUUUAAACCUGAAUUUGGACAAUUAUUGACAAAAAAAGCUUGAGUUUACAUUGAUGACAAUUGACACUCCAAAAUCAAACAAAGAAAUACAUAAUGUGAAUUGCAGUAGAGAAUACAGAGACAAUAUUAACCAGAGAUUUCAAUGGCUUUGGUUCGCCCCUGCCUUGGGAACAGUCACACUCAGAACCCAUUCUCCAACGGGAACAGUCACACUCAGAACCCCAUUCUCCAUUGCAGCCUUAAUCUCCUCUACCUUCGCAUUCUCUGGAAGCUGAAACCUCCUCAAGAACUUGCUGCUGCUGCGCUCCACUCUCUGCCAUUUGUCGUUCUUGUCCACCUUCUCUACAUUCCUCUCUCCAAUGAUCUGAAGUGCCGUCCUCGAGCUCCACCUUCACCUCUUCUUUCUUCAGCCCCAGAAGGUCUGCCUUGAACACAUGGGCUGCUGCGGUCUCCUUCCAGUCGAUCCUCGUGUUCAGGAAAGCUGAAUUUUCCCGGGGAAAAUUCAGGGAAUGUCGAGAGUGGUGAGGAGGAUGGGAAUGGGCAACUUUUUUCAAAAGAAAUAGUAUCGCCGUGCGGCUAUACUGGGGGUAGAAUUUUUUUAAAGCAUUAGUAGAGCCGCGCGGCUAUACUCUCCUUUUAAAUAUUUUUUAAAAUAGUAUAGCCGGGCGGCUAUAAUCUUGUUUCCAAUUUUUUUAAACAAAUAGUACAGCCGGUCGGCUGUACUAGGCUAAUUUUUUUAUUUUUUUAAAUAAAUAGUAUAGCCGGACGGCUAUACACCAUUUUUUUAAAUCUUCUUAUAAAUAGUAUGGGGCUAUACGUCUUCUUAUAAAUAGUAUGGGGCUAUACGUGGUUUUUUUUUUUUCCAAUUUCUUUUAAAAUUAAUAUAAGUUCAUAAAUCAUUCCGGUUAAAAACUGGGUGAAUUUUUCGACCUAGAUGGGGGAAUAUUAAAUUUCCUGAAAUCUGAGGCAUCAUUAUUUAUUUAUUGAGUCAAAAGCAAACGAAGUCAUGAUAAGAUAUCAAAAGACUAUUAAUUCAGAAACAAACGUAAAUGUAACUUUAAAUAGAGAACAUGGACGACACUUGACACUCCCAGACAGCCACACAAUGACACAAAUUCACAUGUAGAAAUAUAUCCAUCACUUUUACUUAGGCACUCUCUAUUUCUACCACAUACUCUGUGGAUGCACUACAGAACCCAGAUGAUCUUAGAUUCCUCAAUUUUAAUUAACCAGAGAUUUCAAUGGCUUUGACAUCAGGCUUCUUCACCUCUGCCUUUGGAACAGUGACACUCAGAACCCCAUUCUCCAUUGCAGCCUUAAUCUCGUUCAACUUUGCAUUUUCAGGAAGCUGAAACCUCCUCGAGAACUUGCCGCUGCUGCGCUCCACUCUGUGCCACUUGUCGUUCUUGUCCUCCUUCUCUACGUUCCUCUCUCCGCUGAUCUGAAGCACCCUGUCGUCUUCAACCUCCACCUUCACCUCUUCUUUCUUCAGCCCCGGAAGGUCUGCCUUGAACACGUGGGCUUCUGGGGUCUCCUUCCAGUCGAUUCUGGUGUUCAGGAAAGCUGAAUUUUCCCGGGAAAAUUCAGGGAAUGUGGAGAGUGAUGAGGAGGAAGGGAAUGGGAAAUCCUUUAAGGGUUCCCAGAGAUCGAGAGAGAAAGGGUCAAAAAUGCUGCCUCGUCGGAAGUUGGGGAUGAUCGACAUUGGAAAAAUUGAUGGGUUUUGUUUGGAUGCUGAGAAAGUUUGAGCGUCGAUUUGUAGUGGUUAGAGAAUUUCUGCUUUGCUUGAUUGGUUUAGGAAAGUAGAGGAUUGGUUGGGUAUUUAAAAGGAAGCCAAGAAUAAUCUAGUAAAGACUGGGCCUUGAAAACGCUUCUGUGAUUUCUCUGGAAAAUUCUAGGAUUCUCGAGAAUCUGUGGGCGGGGCUUCUUUGUGGGCUCAUAACACGCUCAUAACACAGUUAGACGAGUGAUGGACCACUGGACUUCAAAAUUCACUCAACUUUGUAAAAUUUGAAAUUCACUUUUACCCUUCAAAGAAAAUUAAAUACUAAAAAAUAAAAACCCAUGAGAUUCAAAUUGAAGGAACAUAACAUAAUAUAAAUAUAAAAACUGAAUAUGAAUCAAGAAAUGGAAUAAUUAGGUGGUCUGACAAAGUUAUUUGAGGAUUUGCAAGUUUUUCAAAUCUUUAAUGAGAUUAGUAUAUAUAUAUUUUCAUUCAUGGUGUGGUCUAGUAUCACGUGAAGAAUUAGCAUGAAUUGGGAAAAAAAAAAAAAAAUUGCGAGGCUGAAAAUAUUUCUUACUAAUUAUCUGGAACAAGGGUAAAUACGAAACACACAGCAAAAAGAAGUAGGAAAUAUAAAGGAAGGGCAAAAAAUAUGUAGUGCCCCCUUGCACAUGCAGUGAGAAAACACUAUCAUCAUCAACUUCGUCGUCUUCUUCAUUAUCCUCAUCAGAAUCAUCAUCAGUCUCCUCAUCAUCCUCCUUGAGGGUCUGGGUUGAUUCUUCUUCAUGGGUUUGUGGUUAUAUGAAUCAAUGUGUGAGUGCAAUAUAACAACGACUCUUUCAAAUUUUUCUAAAAAGAAAUCUUAGAGCCGCGCAGCUAUACCCGGGUUUCUCCUAAUUUUUCAAAAGAAAUAGUAUAGCCGCGCGGCUAUACCCGGUUUUUCCAUGCAGUGAGAAAACACUAUCAUCAUCAACGUCGUCGUCUUCGUCAUUAUCCUCAUCAUCCUCUUGGUGGGUCUAGGUUGAAUAUUCCUCAUGGAUUUGUGGUUAUAUGAAUCAAUGUGUGAGUGUAAUAUAACAACUCCUCUUGCCAACAUGUAGCUUCACUUGGUUUGAACUGUGAAUUCAAAUUCAUGUUGUUAAUGUUAGUAAGUAAUAACAGAACUUUGUUUAUGCUCACAUAAUCGGCAUAAACGGGUUGAUUGAGAUAUCGAAUUGAUAUCAGAUAUGAAUUAUUGGUUACACUGUUUAAGAAUUAUAAGAUAAGACACUGAUUGCUAGAUGAGUUUCAACAUUUUCAUACUGAUAUUUGGACUAACAUUACUUUAUUUGGAUCCAAACGUUAGAGAUUCUUAUGCAAAUAAUGAAGUAAUUCGAUGUGUUCAUAUUGGGUUACUCUGUGUUUAGGGAAAUCCAGAUGAAAGACCCGCAAUGCAAACCAUAGUUCUCAUGCUAAGCAGUUACUCUGUUACCAUGUUAUUACCUCAAAAAGCCAGCAUUUGUUCUGCAUAGUUGAACUGAGCUGAACAUGCCAUCAUUUACAAGUACUGACUCAUCUGAUCAACCAACUAGCAAAUCAUUGUCAUUUUCUGUUAAUGAAGCCUCAAUUGCUGAAUUAUACUCGCGGUAGUCUAUAUCGAACAAAGCAUGAUCAAUCUUGCAGGACUGUACUUGGGAAGUUCUGUGAUUAUUGUUUCGUUUCUCUCUGCUUUUCCUGGUUGCUCUAGCUGUUCUGUUUUUUGUUAGUUUAGUUAGUCUGUGGUCCCUAGGGGCUCUGUGUUGGUUUGGUUACCAUUGUAGCAUUGUAUUUCUUGGCCUUUUAGGCUUUUGUACCUCUUUUUUUUUUGCUUAAUCCAAUGUUUUGAUCAAAUUUGACUUUAAAAUUCGUUAAAUGGCCAGUUUGUUUAUGAAAUUAGGAUCAAAUUCAUAUUAAAAAGUAAAUUAAGAACAUAAUUAACCUCUUGCUACAUGAAUAAAUUCAUUAAUAUUUAAACCUGAGUUUGGACAGACAUAAAAAGCUUCAGUUUACCCCAAAAUUAAAGAGUUAGCCUAAGCUUUGCCUCAAAAUUAAAGAGUUAGCCCAAUACGUAUUGAAAGAGUUUAGGUAGGGUGGGUCUCAAAUCAUGAGCUGGUUGGGUAAAUAUUUUUUUUUCACUGAUUCUUAUAAAUAUUUGCCAUAUUUUCACCACUCCAAAACUCUCAAAAUCCAAAUUCUACACCCAAGGACAAACUCAGGAAUUUUUAUAUGAGUGGGUAAAUAAAUUUACUUCUUAGGAGUGAAACGAAUUCAACAAUAUAUGAUUACAACAAUAUAUGAUUACGUAUCUCAUAUUUUUCUUUAUUGGUUUAUUAUAAUAGAGACAUCACUCAUUUAUAUAUAAACCUUCAUUGUUCCGUCCUUGUCUACACCUUCAUUGUUGGUGUGGAACAUCACUCAUUUAUAUAUAAACAAAUUAAAUACAAUGAUUGAUUCGUAUGCAACUAUGAAAACACUUUACCUGAAUGAUCUCAAUGUUCAAAUAAAUCAAAGAUAUUUUACCUAAAAUUAUUAAUUUCCUCUAAUAUCUUAUGUGACAUUAUUUUUGUCUCAUGAAUAUAAUCUAAAAUGAUACAUAGAAGAGUUAUGAUAUUGAUUUUCCUCACACAACUAUUGAAGCUGUCAAGAAAGCAAAAAAUGGAUGAAGCGAUUCAUCUUUAGGCUUCCAAUUAAACUUUAGAAAGCAAACAAAUUUCAUUAUAUUAUUUACCGUCAUGUUAAGGACAUGAGUGCGAAAAUACUGUGAGAUGUUCCUCACAAAAGUGGUAUGAAAAUUCUGAUGAUUAUGAAGAGUCAUGGAUCAUUGCAGUUAAAAGCUAGGUGGAUUAGGAUUAGGAUUCCCAAAUCUGCUGCUUCAUUAUUUAUUGAUUCAAGAGGAUUAGGCUUAAGAAUUGGGUUAAGCAAAAGCAAACAAAGCCCAUGAUAAGAUAUCAAAAACGAAAAAGUAAAUGUAAUUUUAGAUAGAGUCGAACAUAAGAAAUCUUAGGAUCACAAUGCAAUUUAAUUUGAAGUUUAAUGCCACUCAAAAAGUUUCAAACACAAGAAAGCAUUUUACUAAUACAUGAAACCAGAAAAGCAACACAUACAAUUCAGAACAGGAACCAGGCAAAGCCUCAAAAACGCAAAACACAAAUUAGCAAAAUUACAAUCAUGAUGGCAAUUAUGUUACAAGAAAUCACUCAUUACAUUGAUGACAAUUGACACUCCAAAAUCAAACAAAGAAAUACAUAAUGUGAAAUUCAGUAGAGAAUACAAAGACGAUAUUAACCAGAGAUUUCAAAGGCUUUGGCAUCAGGCUUCUUCGGAUUUUUCAAAUUUUUUCAAAAAGAAAUACCGGCUAUACUCGAUUUUUUUCCAAAUUUUUUUAAAAUAGUAUAGCCGCCCGGCUAUACUCGGUUUUUUCAAAUUUCAUUGAUAUCGACAUUCAUGACAACUGACACUCUAAAAUCAAACGCAGAAAUAGAUAAUGUGAAGUGCAUAUGCAGUAGAGAAUACAGAGACGAUAUUAACCAGAUAUUUCAAUGGCUUUGACAUCAGGCUUCUUCACCUUUGCCUUUGGAACAGUGACACUCAGAACCCCAUUCUCCAUUGCAGCCUUAAUCUCGUCCACCUUUGCAUUCUCAGGAAGCUGAAACCUCCUCAAGAACUUGCCGCUGCUGCGCUCCACUCUGUGCCACUUGUCAUUCUUGUCCUCCUUCUCUACGUUCCUCUCUCCGCUGAUCUGAAGAACCCUGUCGUCUGCAACCUCCACCUUCACCUCUUCUUUCUUCAGCCCCGGGAGGUCUGCCUUGAACACGUGGGCUUCUGGGGUCUCCUUCCAGUCGAUUCUGGUGUUCAGGAAAGUUGAUUUUUCCAGGGAAACUUCAGGGAAUGUGGAAAGUGAUGAGGAGGAAGGGAAUGGAAAAUCCUUUAAGGAGUCCCAGAGAUCGAGAGAGAAAGGGUCGAAAAUGCUGCCUCGUCGGAAGCUGGGGAUGAUCGACAUUGGAAAAAUUGAUGGGUUUUGUUUGGAUGCUGAGAAAGUUUGAGAAUUGUUGCUUUGCUUGACUGGUUGGGAAAGCAGAUGAUUGAAUGCGUAUUUAUACGGGGCCGAAGAGUUUUCUAGAAUAGACUGGGGCUUGCGUGUUUGUAUGGAUUUCUCUCAAACUUUCUAGGAUUCUCAGGUGGCUUCUUUGUGGGCUCGUAACAGUUGAUGAGUGAUGCACCCCCUGGAUGACGUAAGAGUUGGAAAAAGAACCGGUGAACCAGUUAAACCCGGGAGCGGUCCAGUCAUGUCCUAUUUAUUUCCAAAAUUAAUAGUCAAACCAAAUAAAAUAAUCUGUUUGAUUUGGUUUCCAUUAAGUACAACCCGUUUUAUUCGGUUUGGGUUUCGUUAGGCUUGUCCCAUCAUUACUUGAUGCCCAAAAGUAAUACUCAACUUCCCUAAAUUAAUUAAUCAAAAAAUUCAUAGAGAAAAAAAGAAAUGGAUGAUGGUGUUGGAAGCAUGGAUUGAGGAUAUGAGGGAGGGAGAUGAAGGAAGUUGAGACCGUGAUGAAGAUGAGGGAGGCUAUAAUUUUGGUAUUAAAUUCAUAAUAAGAAUGAGUUAUAUAUAUAUCAAUAUAUUGGUAGACAUUAUAUACUCGGUCCAAUUUUGUUUUUAAGUGGCAAAAUCAAGAACCGAACUGGUUCAAGUCAAAACCAAUUUUUUUAGUUUUUUUCGAUCUAGUUUGGUUCAACUUAUUGAUUUUCCAGUUCAAAUUCUCACCCAUAUAACCCAAUUUAGUUGCACUUUCACUUCCUUUAAGAUUGAGAGAACCGAAUUGAAACGGUCCUUGCUCUCUUUUUUGUAAAUAACUUAUAACUCAAGUGAUUAAAAGUAGUUAUUCUUGCACCCAAAAUCGUGUUUUGAAUCCCCCUCUCUAAUAUCACUUAUAUGAAACAAAAACAAAAUCUACUCAUAUCUUGCAUAAACCAUUUCAUAUGCCAUUUAAAUUCCCCACUAAAAGAACCAAAUUUAACCAUAAAGCAUUGAGGCAUUUCACACCUCCCUAUUAUACCUACAUUCCCAUAUAGAGUACUCGUUUCCUCAUUUGUGCCCGUCUAGUUACUUUUCCUUUUUCAUUUUUUCAACAUGUAGCCCAAUUACAAUCAAAAUAUUCACAACUUGAUACCCUUUUCUUCUCUUCAUUUUCUAGUGUAUCAAACCAUACUAAAAUUCAUCAUAUACCAUAAAACUUCAAAGUUCAAUAACUAAUAUAGCUACAAUUCAAAUAUCAAUAACUUCAAAGUUCCAUGAAACUUCAAAUUCAAUAUUCAUAUCUAGUGAUUAUCCAAUCAAAGUUCCAUCAAACUUCAAUUCAAAUAUCAUUUUUAUAUAUAAUAAAAAUGAACAUAUACAUAAGCAGACAAUCUGAUUCAGUUUAAGUCAAUUUGCAAAAGCUCAAAAUCAAACCGAACUAAAUCAUUUAUAGUUCAAAUAAGUUUUUAAAGUUUUUGACUUUUUCUUGAUAAAAACCAAAUCAAACAAAACUAGUAAUUUCGGUUUGAUUUGACCGGUUUAGUCGAUUGAACCAAAGUGACCUAAGAGUUUGCUUAUGGCUAGUAGGGAGUCAACGACUUUGAAAGUAGCAUGUCUUACGUUUAUGGCUCUCCUAUUUCAGUUUCCCUUUUCUUAGAGGUUGUAAGUGUUUCUUUUCUUGUCGGUAUCCAUUUUUUCCAUUGUGGUUUGGGCCAUUUUCCCAUUGUAUCUCAUAAGUCUACAUUUAUGUUUCCUUUCUUGCUGAUAUGGCAACGUAUAGUUUCAUGCCAGAAAUCAGAUUGAGAUGCAUCAUUGACCUGAAAUUAAAAUUGAAGUUCAUAUAAUAAUCUACUAAAAAUAAAAUUUACUAGAAUUAUCUCAAUCUUUAAAGAAAUCAAAGAGACUUUACCUGAAAUUGUUAGUUUCCUCUAAUAUCUUAUGUCAAAUUUGUCUUUUGAAUAUAAUCUCAAAUGAUACAUAGAGGAAUUAAGAUGAUAUUCAUCUUCCACACACAACUAUUGAAGCUGUAAGAAAGCAAUAGUCGAUAUUAAUGUUGGGAAGCAAAGUUUUUAUUAUUAUUUUUUACCGUCAUAUUAAGGACAUGAGUGCAAACAUACUGUGAGAUGUUCUUCACAAAAGUGGUAUGAAAAGUUGGAUAAAUGAUGAGAUUUAUUCAUGUCAAUUGCACAUAUUUGAGAAAAACUUAUAUGUGUUUUAAUAUCAACAAUCCUUGAAUUUAUGUCUGAGUUGGAGGAUGGAAAUUUAAAAACAAAUUAGAUGACCAAAAUAAAUGCUUUUUAACGGCAAUAGUCCUUGACUUUAUAUCCGAACUGCAGGAGAAAUUAUGCAAUAGUACCGUAGCACAGAUGAUGUGGUGCUGCGGCCCAGUAGUUUUUUGACACGCAAUAAAACCUUAACAUGUCAGCAAUUAAACUUAACUGAAGUUGUAAUGUUAGGCAACGUCGUUUGACGGUUUAAUCCCGUUUGCGUUUAACCCGAGUAGAUUCUUCUUUGAAGCUAAUCCCUAAUUGAAAUAUCUGAUAAUUCGUUGAAGCUCCUCAAAUUUAUUGCUUAUUCUCAAUCUUCUGAGGUGUUUGUGCAAUCUGGAGUCGGGUUUGAAAAAUCCUAACAUUCAAUCAGUUGUUCAUUUACAAGGCUAAGGAAGGACAGGCUGCGAUGGAGACUAGUUUGUUUUGUUUUUUUCCAGACCAGCCGCUGCAAAGCACCACGACGACCGCCUUGACUUCGUCGACAACCACAUUCAGAUCUUGAUUCCAACCAAAACAAUAUGAUAUCAUUCUCGAUUAUUAAAGAAAAAUAAACAACAAUGAAAUAAUCAAUCAAAACAUUCACAAUUUUGAACCAUGAAGAGCUUUUCCAAUUUUUCAAAUUUUGAAUUGUCAAAAAACAACCCCGUAUAGCCGUGCGGCUAUACUCGGAUUUUUCAAAUUUUUAAUAAAUUUCCCCAACCAAAAAAAACAGUACAGCCGUCCGGCUAUACUAGGAUUUUUCAAAUUUUUUAAUAAAUUUCCCCCAAAAAAACCUAGUAUAGCCGGGCGGCUAUACGCUGUUUUAGAAUUUGUUUUCAAAUUAGUUAAGCUGCUCGGCUUUACUGGGCUCUAUUUUUAUAUCUUUUUAUUAGUAAAUCGUUAAAAGAAAUAGGAUAGCCGCGCGGCUGUACCCGUCUCUUGUUCGUAGUAUAGCCGUCCAGCGACAUUCGGAUUUUUCGAAUUUUUUUUGUAUAGCCGAACAGCUAUACUUGGGUUUUCCUAAUUUUUCAAAAAAGAAUAGUAUAGCCGAUCGGCUAUACUCUGAUUUUUCAAAUUUUUUUUAAAUGAAUUAUAUGACCACAAUAAAACUUGGAUAUAAGUUCAUUAAUCAUUGCGAUUAAAAACUAGGUGACUGGGAUUGCUCAGUUAGGCACAUCUUUCCUGAACAGAACUGUACUGCGUAUGCUUUGAUCCUGGUCUGCAGAUUUUUGACAUGGCGUUAGCCUUCCUUGUGGAAAUUCUCGCUGCUGAUGCCUGUGGUGCUUCCAGGCCCCGUUUCUUUAGUGCUCAGUUGUUUUCUUUGCCUAAAAAACCAAACACAAAUUACGAUCCAUUUAUUAAAUUAAAAACCAACAAGUUACAAGCCAUUAUGUUACAACCACUCACACUCAUUUCAUUGAUAUCAACAUUCCAAAUUCAAACAUAGAAAUACAUAAUGUGAAGUGCAUGCAGUAGAGAAUACAGGGACGAUAUUAACCAGAGAUUUCAAUGGCUUUGACUUCAGCCUUCUUCACAUCUGCCUUUGGCACAGUGACACUCAGAACCCCAUUCUCCAUUGCAGCCUUAAUCUCGUCCAACUUUGCGUUUUCAGGAAGCUGAAACCUCCUCAAGAACUUGCCGCUGCUGCGCUCCACUCUGUGCCACUUGUCGUUCUUGUCCUCCUUCUCUACGUUCCUCUCUCCGCUGAUCUGAAGCACCCUAUUGUCUUCAACCUCCACCUUCACCUCUUCUUUCUUCAGCCCCGGAAGGUCGGCCUUGAACAAGUGGGCUUCCGGGGUCUCCUUCCAGUCGAUCCUCGUGUUCAGGAAAGCUGAAUUUUCGGAAAAUUCAGGGAAUGUGGAGAGUGAUGAAGAGGAAGGGAAUGGGAAAUCCUUGAAUGGGUCCCAGACAUCGAGAGAGAAAGGGUCGAAAAUGCUGCCUCGUCGGAAGCUGGGAAUGAUCGACAUAGGAAAAAUUGAUGGGUUUUGUUUGGAUGCUAAGAAAGUUUGAGAAUUUAAAUUGUUAAAGAGAAUUGCUGCUUUGCUUGAUUGGUUUGGGAAUGUAAAGGAUUGGUUGGGUAUUUAAAAGGAAGCCAAGAAUAUUCUAGUAAAGACUGGGCCUUGAAAACGCUUCUGUGAUUUCUCUGGAAAGUUCUAGGAUUCUCGUGAAUCUGUGGGCUCAUAACACAGUUAGACGAGUGAUGGACCACUGGACUUCAAAAUUCACUCAACCUACCCAGCACCAUUUUUGUAAAAUUUGAAAUUCAGUUUUUACCCUUCAAAGAAAAUUAAAAACUAAUGCGAUUCAUAUUGAAGGAACAUAAAAUAAUAUAAAUAUAAAAACUGAAUAUGAAUCAAGAAAUGGAAUAAUUAGGUGGUCUGACAAUGUUAUUUGAGGAUUUGCAUGUUUUUCAAAUCUUGAAUGAGAUUUUUUAAUUUUUUUUUUAAAAAUCGUAGUGUGGUCUAGUGUCGCGUGAAGAAUUAGCAUGAAUUGAGAAAAUUAAAAGUAAAAAUUGCGAGGUUGAUAGUAUUUCUUACUAAUUAUCUGGAAUAAGGGUAAAUACGAAACAGUACACAGCAAAAAGAAGCAGGAAAUAUAGAGGUAGGGUAAAAAAUAUGUAGUGCUACCUUGCACAUGCUGUGAGAAAACACUAUCAUCAUCAACUUCGUCGUCAUUAUCCUCAUCAUAAUCAUCAUCAGUCUCCUCAUUAUCAUCUUUGUGGGUUUGGGUUGAAUCUUCUUCAUGGGUUUGUGGUUAUAUGAAUCAAUGUGUGAGUGUAAAUAUAACGACGAUUCUUGCCAACAUGUAACGACUCUUUCAAAUUUUUUUAGUAAGGCCGGACGGCUAUACUCGGGUUUUCCCUAAUUUUUCAAAAAGAAAUUGUAUAGCCGAGCGGCUCUACUCGGAUUUUCAACUUUUUUUAAAAAGAAAUAGUAUAGCCGGGCGGCUAUACUCGGUUUUCCCUAAUUUUUGAAAAGAAAUAGAAUAGCCGCACGGCUAUACCGGGUUUUCCAUGCAGUGAGAAAACACUAUCAUCAUCAUCAUUAAUGUCGUCGUCUUCGUCAUUACCAUCAUCAUAAUCAUCAUCCUCUUGGUGGGUCUGGGUUGAAUCUUCUUCAUGGGUUUGUGGUUAUAUGAAUCAAUGUGUGAGUGUAAUAUAACAACGAUUCUUGCCAACACUAGCUUCCCUCGGUUUGAACACUGAAUUCAAAUCCAUGUUGUUAAUGUUAAUAAGUAAUAACAGAACUUUGUUUAUGCUCACAUAAUCGGCAUAAACGGGUUGAUUGAGAUAUCGAAUUGAUAUCAGAUGUGAAUUAUUGGUUACACUGUUUACGAAUUAUAAGAUGAGACACUGAUUGCUAGAUGAGUUUCAACAUUUUCAUACUGAUAUUUGGACUCACAUUACUUUAUUUGGAUCCAAAUGUAAGAGAUUCUUAUGCAAAUAAUGAAGUAAUUCGAUGUGUCCAUAUUGGUUUACUCUGUGUUCAGGAAAAUCCAGAUGCAAGACCCGCAAUGCGAACCAUAGUUCUCAUGCUAAGCCAGCAUUUGGAACCAUGGCAUUACCUCAAAAAGCCAGCAUUUUUCCUGCAUAGUUGAACUGACUCAUCUGAUCAAUCAACUAGCAAAUCAUUGUCAUUUUCUGUUAAUGAAGCCUCAAUAGCUGAAUUAUACCCGCGGUAGUCUAUAUCGAACAAAGCAUGAUGAAUCUUGCAGGACUGUACUUGGGAAGUUCUGUGAUUAUUGUUUCGUUUCUCUCUGCUUUUCAUGGUUGCUCUAGCUGUUCUGUUUCUUGUUAGUUUAGUUAGUCUGUGGUCCAUAGGGGCUCUGUGUUGGUUUGGUUACCUUUGUAGCAUUGUAUUUCUCGGCCUUCUUUUGCACCUUUUUUUUUUUACAAAAUUAGUUAAAUACUCAUUCCUAGACAUAAAACGAUAAAAAUACCCUAUACUAUUUAAUGUAUAUAAACACACCCAAAAUAAACCCAAAAAUCGACAGCUGUAUAUUUUUUAAUUUAAUUAUUAAGAUGAAAUACCUUUAUUACCUUUUUAACAUAAAAUUGGAAUUCUAAUCAACACCAGAUUAGAACUCAUUACACGACCUCCAGUCUCUCAUCUUUAUCUUCAACCCCAAUUUUCAGUUUUUGUUCUUCCACUUCAAUCUCAUCAUUGUUCUUCCACCUCAGUUUUUGUUCAAUCUCUUCAUUCUAAGCUUCGUUGGAGGGCUCGCCUGGGCCACCAACAAUGAUGCACUGGAGAAGGCCUUUCUCCAUUCGGUGAGAUCAUCGAAUCGCAGGGUCGUUCGACCUUUACUACUUGAUCUUCUGUUUCUCUAUGUUACUUGAUCUUUCUUUCCCAAAGAUUGAAGAUCGAUAGAUUCCUUUUCAUUUUUUGUUUAUUAUUGUGUAUUUGUUUGAUUAUACUCUGACGUUUUCGUUUUGACGGACGACUCUGAUUUGAUUUGGUUUCUUUUUGUGUUUCUAGAUCAUCAACGACCGUGAGACUGGGAGGUCCAGGGGCUUCGGCUUCGUCACCUUCAGCAAUGAGAACGCCAUGAGAGAUGCCCGAAGGCAUGAACGACCAGAACUUCGACGGUCGUAACAUACCGUAAAUGAGGCCCAGUCUUGUGGAAGCUAAAAUGAAAUGUUGUAAUAUGUAUGUGUCUACAUGUAUUGUAUUUUCAGCUGUGGAUAAGGAAUUUUUGGGAUUUUAGAUUUGCUGGCCAAGUUUCCUCUAAAUUCUAUAAAGAUGAAGCAGCCAUUCUGUAUGCAACCUUGGGAUUCUUCUCCAAUGAUUGUCAAGAAACUGUUCAAGGUAUGUGAAUUUCAAACUAUUGGAGGCCUGAUUUUGUUAAGUUCUUUUACAAAUAUAGGACAUCGUUCGUGAAAGAUGUCAUAUGCUCUAUCUAUUAUUGCAUUUGCUUUUUCAUAUUUAUGAGGUCUGUUUUCUUAUUCAUGAUUAUACGACCUCUAAAAGCUUGGAAUAAUUAUUUUGUGCUCGCUAAUACUGCCUAAUGGUCUCUCAUUACUCUUACCAUUCUUUUUCGUCUACGCUCUCAUUGCAUAGAUUGAAGUCAUAGGUUGUUCUUGCAGAGAUGUUAUGAGAUUUGAUUAUCAACACAUCUGUAUUCUGCAAGUUAAGUGCUAUCCAAAUUCCAAAAGGACGACCUUGGCUUUGAAAAGUGGAAAAAUUGUCUGUAUACUAUGGGUAAUGGGUUAGUUAGGUUCUGGGUCACAGUAAAAAACAAGCUAGAAACUUCAAGCAUAGAAGAGUUGAUUGCAAACCAUGCAUCAAUUUGGCAAGUAGAGCUUUGCCAUCUGUUAUGUGAAUGGGAGGGGUUCAUUUGUCCAAUACAUUCCCAUAUUCCAAUUGGGUUGUAGCUUUGUCCAAUCAAUCUCAUGGCUUCGUAGGUGGUUCCACCAUUUUAGUCCAACAAAUGAAAAAUUGAGACUUCAAUGGGUAAUCAAAAUUUGGUGUGGAAAUAUAUAGGAGGCUGUCAAUUUGGUGGAAUCGGUAAAGGUUUUGGUAAGAUUUUGUCAAGCUGUUGAAACUCUGUACACUAGGGACUACCUGCGUAGACCUACUCCCAGGGACCUCCAACGGCUUCUGCAAAAAGCCGAAGCUCGAGGAUUCCCUGGAAUGAUUGGUAGCAUCGACUGCAUGCAUUGGCAAUGGAAGAAUUGCCCAACUGCCUGGCAAGGUGAUUAUGGAAAUCGAAAAGGCCAAAAAAGUAUCAUCCUUGAAGCGGUUGCUGGUUUCGACACAUGGGUUUGGCAUGCCUUCUUCGGAGUUGCAGGAUCACAAAAUGACCUCAACGUGCUGGGUCAAUCCCCCGUCUUCAACGAUGUAUUGAGAGGUCAGGGCCCCAAUGUCACCUAUGAAGUCAACAAUACAGUAUACCAGACAGGAUACUACCUAGCUGAUGGAAUCUACCCGAGGUGGACGACUUUUGUCAAAACCAUUCCAAAUCCCCGAUCCCAGAAGCAAAAAUUAUUUGCUACAUAUCAAGAGGGAUACAGGAAAGAUGUCGAAAGGUGUUUUGGCAUCCUUCAAGCCAGGUGGUUGAUUAUUCGAGGUGCGGCCCGCAUGUUUGAUGAGGAGAUCAUCAGAAGCAUUAUGAUGACUUGCAUCAUCCUCCAUAAUAUGAUUGUGGAGGAUGAGUACGAUUAUGAUGCUUUAGAGGUCUACGAACCGGAUCCAAUGAACACGGCUUUGACACGGAUUUAUGAAAGGCCCAUGGGGCCAAAUGGAGAACCGUUUGAGCCGGAACCGUUGGUGAGGGAUGGUCAUUUGAUGACCCGAAUGAUAGAUCGAUAUACGGAGAUGCAAUCUUCGUAUAUUCAUGAAAUGCGUCAAUUUCACUUGAUGGAGCAUCUAUGGGCGGUGAAAGGCAAUGAAGAUUAAUGAUGGAGAAUAGAUGCUUUGCUUAUGUUUUAUUUAGUAUGGUUUGGUUGUGUUUUUAUUUUUAUUGUGCCUUGUUUGUACUUUUAUUUUUAUUAUUGUGCCUUGUUUGUACUUUUAAUUUUAUUUUUAUUAUGUUUUGUUUGAAGUAUGGAAUAUGUUGAAUAAAAAGGUAAUUUAUUGAAUGCUUUGUUUAUUAAAUAAUGAAAUGUAAUACAAGUCAUUAUGAAUUACUAAUAAAAUAAAAUACAUGAAUUAUAACAACUUUAAUAGAAAACAACUAAAAUACAAAUACAUAAAAGAUAUGCUAACUAAUUUAAUGGUUUCCAUCAUUUAACCAAUCCGUGUUGCUAGCCCAUCAUCCCGGAAAAGUCUUCUUCUCAUAACAUCCCUUCGUUCUAGCUUCCAAAAUUGUUUUUGUUUCAGGGGACAUAUGAACUUGUAUCCAUUCGCCAUGGUUUCCCGAAUCUGUCUUGUCCCUAUCUUUUUUUGCGCAAAAANNNNNNNNNNNNNNNNNNNNNNNNNNNNNNNNNNNNNNNNNNNNNNNNNNNNNNNNNNNNNNNNNNNNNNNNNNNNNNNNNNNNNNNNNNNNNNNNNNNNCUCGGUAGUACGAUUUGCCCACUUCUAUAGUUGUCAUCGCUUUGGUAGGGCAUUUCUCAUUUUCCCAACUCUUUAUUGAGAAUUUUUCCACCUACUGGAUAAUGUCAUCUCCGUACGAGUAGACCCCGGAAUUUUUUCACAAAAUUCGGCAUGAAUUUUUUUCCACAUAUGAAAAAAUUUCAUUUCAUUGCCGGACACGGGACAAUGACAAAUUUGGAGCCAAGCCUCACACAAAGAAACAUCUUCCAUUGUGCUCCAAGCCCCUCCGGUUUCGAUAGAAGAAGCCAUAAAAAUAUGAAAUCAAAAUGCUAGAUGAAAAAGAGGAAAAUAUUGUGUAAAAAGAGUGAAUAUUAGUAGAAGUAUAAUGAAAUGUAAGAGUAUUGGUGUUGAAAGUGAAGGGUAUUGAUAGGUAUUUAUAGAAAAAAAUAUCAGAAUUUUUUAGAAUUUUUUAGAAUUUUUUUUCAUAUUUUUUUCACCCAAAAAAGCCUCAGCCGUUGGAUUAGAAAGGAGAAGCAGAUCGGAAGGCGCUGAGCGCGACACGUGGCAGCGUACCGUUGGCGCUGGCGUCAGCGCUGACGUCAGCGCGCGCUGAUUCAAAACUUUUUUACCGUUGGCGCGUGCAGCUGACGUCAGCGUGACGCCAGCGCUGACGUCAUUACCCGCGUUUUGGACCUGGGGCUGGUUUGGCCUUCGGGCUGGCCCGAGUUGGUGGGUCCCACACCAAACCCGGGCCUGGGCUGCACGCUGGAGCGAAAUUUUUUUUUUUUUUCUGCCCUUGCCUCGGGCUGGGCUCCUUCGCUGGAGCCACUCUAAUAGUUGACGAAUCAUGGACCACAUGAACGUUUGAGGGGGAAAAAAAGAACCGGUGAAACAGUUAAACCGACCGAAUUUGACUGAACCAUCCCAUUUGAUUUGUUUGCCUUUUCCAAAAUGUCCCAUAAAACAAUCAGUCUGAUUCACUUGGGAUUUGUUGGUCCGACUGGUUCUAUUCGAUUUGAGUUUUGCAUUGACUUAAAUUUUUUGUUAAGCUUGUCCCUUCAGAAACCCAAAAAUAAUACUCAACUCUCCUAAAUUAAUCAAUCCAUGAAUUUAUAAAGAUAAAAACAAAAAGAUGGUGGAUGACGGUGUUGAAAGCAUGAAUGGAGGAUAUAAGACCAUGAGGGAUAUGAAGGAAGUUGAGAUCAUGAUGAAGAUAAGGGAGGAUCGGACCGUGAUGAAUAUAAGGGAGGAUCAGACCGUGAUGAAUAUAAGUGAGGCUAAGAAAGAUGAUGAGGCUAUAAUUUUGGUAUUAAAUUCAUAAUAAAAUUGACUUAGACAUAUAUAUUAAUAUAUUGGCCAACAUUACUUGGUCUGGUUCUGUCUUUAAAUGGCAAAAUUGAGAACCAAAUCGGUUCAAUUCAAAAUUAAUUUUCCAAUUUUUAAAAAUUUGGUUUGAUUUAGUUCCUCAAUUUUCUAAUUGAAAUGCCCACCCCUAUAACCUAGUUUAACUGCACCUUCACUUCCCUUAAGACCGAGUGAACCAAAUUCGACUAAGUUUUUUUUUACAAGAGACUUGUAAUUUAAGUAAUAAGAGUAAUUAUUCAUGCACUCAAAGUCCUUUGCUUGAAUCCCCCUCUUCAAUAUCCCUUAUAUGAAAAAGAAAAAAAAACUACUCUCACACAAACCAUUUUAUAUGCAAUUUAAAAAGUAUUGAGGGAUUCCACACCUCCCUAAACAUGAACUAUGAUCAAUAUGGUUGGGGCACAGUUAAAAUUGAAUCAUUUUUACCAAAAAAUUGCAAUCGAACUAAUUACAAUAUGAUAAUUUAAUUUGAUUUGAUUUUGACAAAAAUCAAAGAGAAACUGAACGAAUCGCGAUGGAACACAAUUGAAUCAUUAUUUCCCUGCACCAUUAAAGCUCGAUGGUCCAAAGCUACCGUCAACCAUGUAUUUAGUUGUCCACAUUGAAGCCAAAGCAAACUACUCAUUUCAUUAUUCAUGACAUUUUUCACACACAAAAUACAAAUUACAAUGAAAAGUUGCUCCAGUCUCCAACAUAUCCAUCAUUUGAUUUUACAAUUUUAAUAUUCUGAAGAAUAUAUAGAUGGCCUCAAAUUCUCAAUUUCAACCAGAGAUUUCAAUGGCUUUGGCAUGAGGCUUCUUCACCUCUGUCUUGGGAACAGUGACACUCAGAACCCCAUUCUCCAUUGCAGCCUUAAUCUCAUUUACCUUGGCAUUCUCAGGAAGCUGAAACCUCCUCAAGAACUUGCCGCUGCUGCGCUCCACCCUGUGCCACUUGUCGUUCUUGUCCUCCUUCUCUACAUUCCUCUCUCCACUGAUCUGAAGCACCCUGUCGUCUUCAACCUCCACCUUCACCUCUUCUUUCUUCAGCCCCGGAAUGUCAGCCUUGAACACAUGAGCUUCUGGGGUCUCCUUCCAGUCUAUUCUAGUGUUCAGAAAAGCAGAAUUUUCCCGGGAAAAUUCAGGGAAUGUGGAGAGUGAUGAGGAGGAAGG
This 19788-nucleotide long non-coding RNA is filed under the name Prunus persica (peach). RNAcentral describes it as "long non-coding RNA (PPER_LNC005649)". Lineage: Eukaryota; Viridiplantae; Streptophyta; Magnoliopsida; Rosales; Rosaceae. The record is from RNAcentral.